This 2565-nucleotide ribosomal RNA is filed under the name Triticum aestivum (bread wheat). RNAcentral's name for it is "partial small subunit ribosomal RNA". Lineage: Eukaryota; Viridiplantae; Streptophyta; Magnoliopsida; Poales; Poaceae. The record is from RNAcentral.
AUGGCGGAGGGCAGGCGGCUCAAUAGGCGGGGCCCAGGCUGCCUCGAGGGCUUGUUCAAAUUUCUUGCCCUCAACCAAAAAUUGCAAACGCCAAAACUGAUUGCCUAUCAAAAGCAUGGGGAAGGAAAUGACAACACACUCAGAGUAAAAGUUCCGAAACCCAUAAACGGCAUAGAAAAAGAAGAAACUGUUCAGGAGACUGACAGCGUUUCUCCAACGACGAAGGCCAGCAUGUUUACAUGGAAGACACUCAUGUUCAGGAAGAAAACACACAAGAAAGAUCAAAAGAAGAUUGAAUCGCAUUCCAAUCCGCGUGACAGCUCCCCAUCGUCAUCACGUUUGAUACGCUCCAGCUCAAUCCAUCAUUCAAAAUGCUUCGAAUAUGUGGUUCCUGAUGAGUUGGCUUUGGAGUACCAGCGAAUGAACGAAUCGAGCUCCACUGAGACAGGCUCUAGUCAGGGUGCACCGCAGUCAUCACAUCAGAGCCCUAGAGGUCCCGUUUUUCAGGAGUCGCGCAAGGCUUCUGGUAGCAUUAGUGGCAAACAUAACUUGAUUGCAGAAGCACCCUGUGAGACCAUACCUGAGAACCUUACUACUGAGAAUGAGGUCUCCUCUAAGCAGAAAAGCCUUGACGAUUCAACGCAUCACUCGAAGGAGUUCUUGGAUUUCCUUGAAUUGUUCAAUGCACACAGGGAACUGUUUCUCAAGAUUCUUCACGAUCCUUCCUUGUUAGUACCACCUGAACAGCAAGAGCAAGAAGCUUCCUCUAGCGGUGCAGUACCGCUGAGCAAAUUAGAAUCGUUCCCAAGACCAGGAGGAUCAUCAGGGAAGCGUAACCCUAUAUUUGAUCGGAGCGACAGUGAGAAAAGCAGAAGGGCAGAAAUCCAAAGGUCGCCGUCAAGGCCUAAAUCUGACCUUGAAGGCGUAAAAGUCAUCAGUACAAGAAUGCCUUCUGGUGUCGAGGCAUCAACAGUUUCUCUUGCAGAAUCAAGAAGCCUAAAAAAAGCUGGAACCACUUCAAGUCGAUUUAAAGCUAUAAGUAAGAAGAUCAAACAUGUCGUAAAGGACGGAGUUUUUCAUAAAAUGCCUUAUGGCCAAAAGAUGGCUGAGUUAACCAAGAGCACCUCCACGAAGAAAUUUGCCCAGGAGGAGAAACAAAUACGAAGAUCAUAUUCUAUUGCAGAAUCAGUAGACAAGUACUCGACUCUCUAUGAUUCAAUGUCAAGGGAGUCAAGGAUUUCCUUCGAAAGACCAAGUACAGCAGUGGAAGACGAUGCAAGCUUAAGAGACAAGAAGUCGCCAAUGCACAUGAAAAGAAUAACUUCUCUUCCAGAAAUGGAAUUAUAUGCUCCUCAAAAAGAUGCUCUAACUGAAUUUCCUGGUUCUCAGAUUGUGCCCAAGACAUAUGAUGUGGAAUCUGAUCGGUUUUCUUCACAUCAAAAUGGCUCCUUCAGUAUUGUCACAGAAGGAAAUUUGUACCCUGAUUACAUCACAGAAAGAACAGCAGAUAUUUACAGUGAACAAAAUGAUGAAGAAGGUGCUUUCCUUUGUUCUCUAGAAGAAGAUUUACGUAGCAUUCUCCGAACUCCCAGUUCGUCUUCUUUUGGCCAGUCUUUCUCCCAUCGACGCAUCAACAGUUUACCUUCUUUUGACCGGACAUUUUUUCAAGAUCACAGCCGCAGUUUUACUGAGCAUUCUGUAGCAGAUUCAGAACCGACAUUUGAAGAUAUGCAACUGGAGGAUGAUGAGUGGUUGGUCAAGCCAUCACAGGCUUCAGGAGAAUAUGCUGCCAAUUUCAAGAAUGACCAGUGGCUAAUUAGGCCACUGCAACCCUCAGGCAUCGAUGCUACUGAUCAUGAGGACGAAGAGUGGGUUGUUGAGACACCACAGCUGCUAGGUGCCAAUGCUGUCGAGGAUGAAGAGUGGCUGGUCAAGCCGGCGCUGCCCUUGGGUGCCGAUGAUUCGAAUUCAGAGUUCCAGUUUAUACAUGAAUUCACCGAACAAAAUGAUGCAGGUUCCUUGCACAUUUAUGUCAAUGACGAGAAUGAGGCUGAUUUCCAGUAUGUGAAGGAUAUACUCAAGAAAUCCGGGUUCAGCUGUGGCGAGGCCGAUUGGUAUGCAUCCAACCAACCACUCAGCCCAGUGAUCUUCGAGGAGGCAGAAUGCUCAUGUCAGGAUCUUGAGAUGACCAAUGACGAGCCCCACAGCAUCGUCAGGCGCAUGCUCCUGUUUGAUAUCAUCAACGAGGUCCUGAUGCACAUCUACGACUCCUCCCUCGUCAACGGUCCGUGGCAUUCGCGCUUCGACCCGCGCACCAGGCCGAUACCCAUGGGGUCCCAUGUCCUUGAGGAGGUGUGGGAAAACGUUAGCUGCUACCUGAGCCUUCAGUGGAAGCCCAACACGACGGUGGACGACAUUGUGGCGCAUGAUGUUAUGAGGAAGGACAGCUGGAUGAACCUGCUGUACGACGCGGAGUGUGUCGCGCUGGACCUGGAGGAUCUUAUGGUGGAGGACCUUCUGGAUGAUGUUGUUCUUCAGAUAGUGUUAAUAUCUAUCGACGAAUGA